UCCACCGUCGCCGGAAUGGCCUACUUCAUCGUCGCCGACAAGACCAUCGUUUCCAUGGCCAGGAAGCACUCCUACGAGGACGCGCCGGACCACCUCAAGAACACCUCCUUCAACUAGUUAGACAGUAGAUCCAUUAGUAGUAAAUAGUGCGAAAUAAACUGCACGCCGGCCUGCAACUACAAGUGUCUGCGGAUUCAACUAGGGAGGCGAUCAGGCGAGGCUUGCAGGCCUACUGCUCUUCUCUGCGUGCGAGAACUUAUCUGAUGAAGUAAUCAUCAUGUAUCCAGCCAGUCAUCUUGAAUUAAUAAUAACUUGCAUUUGUACAACUCAGGUUUACCCAUCAUCACCCAUCUUACAUUUUCUUGUUUGUGGUUAUCAUUUGACAUGUGCCAGUGUCAGAGCAUGCAGAACACUGAAGUAAGGCCAACUCCACCGCGUGACCCAUCUGUGACCCAUCCGGACGUCCGAUUUUGUCCGUAUGGGUAGCGAAAAAGCGGACGUCCGGCCCCCGGACAGUGCUCGAACGCAUCCGCGCCCAGCGCGUCCAGGACCCAAACAUGUCCGUCCCGCCCAGCUUCGUCGCCUCCUCCUGCAGGACCAGCCCGCGCCCUGGUGGCCGGCGCCGCACGCACCCCGCCCGGCCUGCGCCCCGGGGGCUGGCGCCGCNNNNNNNNNNNNNNNNNNNNNNNNNNNNNNNNNNNNNNNNNNNNNNNNNNNNNNNNNNNNNNNNNNNNNNNNNNNNNNNNNNNNNNNNNNNNNNNNNNNNNNNNNNNNNNNNNNNNNNNNNNNNNNNNNNNNNNNNNNNNNNNNNNNNNNNNNNNNNNNNNNNNNNNNNNNNNNNNNNNNNNNNNNNNNNNNNNNNNNNNNNNNNNNNNNNNNNNNNNNNNNNNNNNNNNNNNNNNNNNNNNNNNNNNNNNNNNNNNNNNNNNNNNNNNNNNNNNNNNNNNNNNNNNNNNNNNNNNNNNNNNNNNNNNNNNNNNNNNNNNNNNNNNNNNNNNNNNNNNNNNNNNNNNNNNNNNNNNNNNNNNNNNNNNNNNNNNNNNNNNNNNNNNNNNNNNNNNNNNNNNNNNNNNNNNNNNNNNNNNNNNNNNNNNNNNNNNNNNNNNNNNNNNNNNNNNNNNNNNNNNNNNNNNNNNNNNNNNNNNNNNNNNNNNNNNNNNNNNNNNNNNNNNNNNNNNNNNNNNNNNNNNNNNNNNNNNNNNNNNNNNNNNNNNNNNNNNNNNNNNNNNNNNNNNNNNNNNNNNNNNNNNNNNNNNNNNNNNNNCCGAGCGGGGCGCUGCUGCUGCAGAUCCUGAACAUGGGGGGCGUGCCUCAUCCGCGAGCACGGCGGCGGGCGCAGGGCGAUGGCGGGCGCGGGGCGACGGCGGGCGCGGCGGCGGGCGCGGGGCGUGCGACGGCGGACACGGCGGGCGGCCGGCAGCCGACGAGGGAGCAACGAGAGCAACGAGGUCGGGAGUGGCUCGGUGUGGGUCGCUGACCUGUGGGCCAGUGGCGGACACGAGCGGACGAGAGAGGCCGAGGAGCGCGUCCGUCUGUGUCCAUUCAGACCCAUUUGUGACCCAACUUUGGUCUAGAUUUGGGGUUGGGCCGGACUGAAACGGACACCAGCGGACAACUUUGUCCGUUUGAAUAUUACCGCUGGGUCGUAUUUUACCUCAAACGGACAAAAGCGGACCGGAUGGGUCACGGAUGGAUCGUGCGGUGGAGUUGGCCUAACUCUGCAUUCUUUGACCCCCUAAUCCUCCCCUGUUUCGCAAUGCACAUCGGGUUCAAGCCACCUCACUUGUUAAAUCUUUUGAUCAGGUUUAAUGGAUGCCAUGGCAAAUAUGGGAAGUUUUUAAAGAAACAAGGAAAAUAACCCUUAGAGCAGACGUGCAUCUAUAUCAUAGUUUUAAAUAGCCGGCUAUAGCCUUUUUAGCAAGAUGCCGCUAAAUAGCCGCCUUCACAAAUAGCCCGCUAUAGUCUGCUAUAGCCUGCUAUAACUCUGCUAUAGCUGAUUUGAAGGCCCGCCGUUAUUUUUUGUAGCCCGCUAUUUAAAACAUUGAUCUAUAUCUAUACCAAUACAAAAAGACCCAAGGGGCAUAUCCAAUUAAUAUCGGCCAUCAAAUCAUGUCAAUCCAACGACAUAUACUGCUUUAAUGUCGAGCGCUCAACAAGUUUAGCGUGCAGUUAAUUUCAUGCCAAAUAUAGUGCUAAUCACAUAAUAACACAUAAAUAAUAUCCUACUUAAUAUCCACAUGCGCUUAAUAUACUUCCAAAUUAACGUACAUGCACAUUGACUAGUUUUAAACAAAGGAAAGAACAACAAUCCCUCUUGUGCCUUAAGCACGGAUCAUGUACCUCCACUACCACCCCCACGAUCUAGAAUAAGGGUUUGCGCAUAGGACAAAAAUGUUUCAUGGAUAAUCCGGUCACGAUUUUUUCAGCCAGACGGGCCUCUCAAACGACCCUCAAACGCCCAGGAUGAUUGGCACCCCCAUAUCUAGCCCAAAUAUGGGGCGGAUAUGGAGGCAUCCGGGCCCGCCACCCAUGCCAGACCCGGCCCAUGCUGGCCCACCCAACCCUAAAAUCUUCCCCAUCCGCUUGUCGGACCAAUCCCUAGCCACUUCACUCCUCUCCCCUCCGCCACCCAAGCUUGCCUCAGGCUCCUUUCGGUCGUCUCCGGCAUGGUGGGCAGCGGAUCCAAGUCCUUCACCUCCAAAUCCGUCGACCCCGAGCUCAUCCCGCGCGGCCCUGAGGAGGAGAUGGCCGUCCGGCUUGCGCUUUGCCGGGCCCGGGAGGAGGCCCGUGGACGGCUGCUCGGACUCCAUUCGUCGGGAAUCCAUUGCCUCUGCCCAAAUGGGGCAUGGAUCCGACGCUAGGCCGGCCGUAGCUGCCUCUCCGGAGGCCGUAUGUGCGAUCCGUCUGGCAUCCGAAUGCGCUGGAGGACGUGCAACCCCUCCGAUAUUGGGGACGCACCUUCGUCCCAUGAGUCCACGACAGUGCAUGCACGCCGUGCAAGGCACCGGGCACGGGAGGCGGCGACAACCCUCGUGGCGGCGGACGUCGGCGAGGCGGAGUCGCAUUCUUCGGCUCCCCAUAUGGCGCAUUAGUUCGGGCGCCGCAACAACAUCGUGGUGGACAUCGGUGGCUUGUUCCUGGACGGAUCCAUCAUCGAUCUGACAUCCACCGGCACCAUUCGAGUUUCGGUCUCCGACGAGGAAGAGUAGGGCAUGGGAGAUGGCGGGGCCUUGAGCCCCAUGAGCCAACUCGUGUCCCAUGCCCUACCCUACCUUGCUGGCGACCGGACCAACACACUAAGGAGCGCAGCCGACCGCCAGACAUGGCCAGGGCGGAGCCGGGCGAGCGGGGAGCGGAACCUGAAGAGAUAUGCGUAGAUUAGGUUUCAUGUUGCAUGUGAUAAUAUGAAUUUGAGGUUUCCAAAUGCGGAAUUCGUUUUUCAAGGGGUGACCGGUCACUGACGCGGGGGUCGGAUUUGUCAAGCCCGGUUGUAGAUGCUCUUAGGGCAUCUCCAACACAGACCAACAAAUUUCUCCAGCAUAUGUUCAUUUGUAUGUCCGAAUGUGGUAUGUGGACAUGAUGCGGGAGGGAGUCAUCUAAUGAUAAUCACAAAGUAUCCAGUUGGGACGAGAAAAAAGUAGGUGGGAUCAUGCAUGUAGUGGGAUAUUUGUGUUUUGAAGUCCAGUUAGGAGGAGAGAGAAGAGGGAGGCCAUGCAUGUGCGGUUGGAAGGAGAGAGAUAAGAGGGUGACCAUGCAUGUGGUUGGUCAAGUGCAGGUCCGGACUCCACCAAAGCCCCCCAUGUUUGUCUCUGGGAUACUAGAAUCCGUACGCCCAAACUGCUAAGCAGACAUAUAUAGGUCCUCGUUGGAUGGCAAAAGUGGUCCAAACACUCCGAUCUGGACAUGUAGUGAAGGUUUGAGUGUCCACCUUAAAGAUACCCUUAAUAGAGCAACCGUGCACCAGCGACCCUAUCCCAGUUUAGAACUAUCUUCCCUUUGAUCAAUCCUUUGAAGUUCAGAAUGUGCUUGAGUUCCAUCUCCAUUUUCUCAUGGAUGUUGACAUCAUCAUCAACACAGCAUGUUCGUAGUCCGAUUUUGAUGAACUAAUGAACUCUUUUUGAAUGAAUUCAUCAACCUCCUGGUCUGUAUACUCCUCAUCCUACCAGACUGACAAAUCCAUCAUUUUGCCUAUAAAAGAAUCCAAAAAAACUGCUUAGCCAUUAUUGAACACAUUGAGGGCAAAGGUGUAUGACUGGAGGAGCGGGACAUAAAUCGCGGGGGCGAAAAUGGCAGGGAGGAGUUUUGUGGUGGUGAUGGUGAUGUCAACACUGUGGGGUCAUAAUGGUGGCGAAGCUGGGGUGGUGAUGAAGCUAGGGAAGGGACGUUGUUGACGAGGGAGAAAAGAGAAGACAAAAAUGGUAGGCCUACCUAGGCCGAGGUGAUUUGAUGAAAUUUUGUGGUGGGUCUUGUUUGUCGGAUCCGACGUGGCGGACAUGUCAGAGCCUCCCCAUAACCGUUUCAGAUAUGGGCUAGAUAUGAUGGGUGCCGGUUGGCACGGAUGUAUGGUUGAGGGAGCCGGUUGGGUUGUUAUUUCUUGAACCCGUCCGCUAGACAUACAAAUCCGAUAUAAAGGGUAUGAUACAAAGCCAAUAUGAAGGAUCUGGUUGUAGAUGCUCUAAGCAUUGAACACGAAGGUCUCGCAUUCACUAAGCUGCGCAAAGGCAACCACUGCAAUGUUAGUGUAUUCUUAGUUAAAGGCAUCUUCAAUGUUGACCCACAAAUUUUCUCCCGCAUCCAUCUCGAGACAGAGGAACUAGUCCGUGGACACGGAUGCAGGAGCCACAUACAUUUCAAGCCGGAUUUUCACAAACCGGACGACAUUCAUCAAAUCCGACGGAAUUAAUCAAAGUUCAGAUAGAAAAUAGCGCAAGUGAUUCAUACAUAGCAUGCAAAUAAGCCUAGUACAACAGUAGUUCAAAUUCAACGAGCUUGACCGGAUGUUCAACAAGUUUUUCAUGAAUAGAUCAUGUCGUCACACAUACUGCGGCUUCAGCUUCAUCCAACAGUGUGGGUACGUAAAAGGUUGUCCCUCUAUCCUAUGGUACAUCAUGGCGGCACUUUCGGGACAAUGUAUAGACCAACAUUGAGUGAGCAAAUGAUUCAACCAACAAGUUGAGCAAGAAUGGCCAAUGGCCACAUUACGGUACGACCUCCUCCGCUGCUGAACCCAAUGGCCACAUUGCCUCUAGCCGAGUAACCGCGUCACAACACUUGGUGAUGGUAGUCUAGACGGCGUACCAUCGAUACGAUAACGACUGCACAUUGAGAUCAUGGAUGAUGUGUAUGCAUGUCAUAGGGCGCAAUGUGCUUUCGCGCGUGAAACGAAUCAUGCACGCGCUGCUAGAAGAUCCCUCUUCUACUCCAACUCCGUGCGUAUGGCCAACCACGCAUCGCACAACAACUCAUCCUCUAUGGUUGAGUACCCCCACUUUGCUUCCAAUUUGCGGGGAAAAGUGACUCCCGGCCGGUCAGCGGACCGAUACACGCAUUGGAUGGCAAAACACAUCCAAACCGCACAGUUCAAAUGUGUGCGGACGGUUUGAGGGUCGGUGUUGGAGAUGCCCUAAAAUGAGUAGUUAUGCCUAGCUCAAAUAAAUUUAAAUUGAGAUUUAAACUUCCUUUCAGAAUUUUGAGCGGUAUCCACUCGGUUUUAUUCGGUAGCCGCAUCUUUUGCCCCCUCUUGGCAUUUGUUCAUUAUAUUUGGUAGCCAUGACCUUGGCCGGGGUCGAGAUUCAUGAUGACGCGAGGUGUACGGUGGUUGUGCGAUCGGUUAUUUGAACGGGGGACCAACUUUAUAUUUCUCGGCAACCAAGGUGAUGAACGAAGACAACCAACAUGUAGUUGGAUGGUUAGGAGGAUAGGAAUAUUUUCAGCCCAUCAGGGUUCAAGUCAAUUUUCGGCGAUGUGUGUUCAGUGGAAGAAGACGUUCCAUGGUGACUUCGAGUGUAUGCUUGUAUAUUUGAGCGCUUAUAUCUAUAGUGUUUUAAAAAAAAGUUGAUCAACGAAGGAUUUGAAGCAAAGCAGUCGCGGAAUUGCGGAAUUGGAUUGCUGCCGGGUUGGACGAAAACAGGGAGCGCCCACACAGAUCUCCAACAAAACGGAGGGCACACUCACGCACAUGCCCCUACGUGUUAUCCUACGCACGAACACGCUCCUUGGCUCCCUGCCGUGCAGUGGUCAUCAAAAAGUAUCAGAGGCGAGUCACUUGGAUUAGUUUUUAUAUGCGGACCAAGGAGGCGGUGUCAUCUGUGCUCUGCCGCAGCGCAGCGCCGGCCAUCCCGCACGCCCGCCGCUCGUCUCAAAACCACGGUCUCGCUUCCCACCGUAUCAGCUCGCCUUCCUCUCCGCGCGCACGCCGGUUUCGCGGUUUCUUGCAGCCUAUAAAUCCGGCCGGAGCACCCAGCUCUGCACCAUCCCAUUUCACACAACCGCUACUCAUCUUACCUGACACACUUCACUUCCUUCGGAUCUCGUGCCACCAAGCUCUGCUCCCGCCAAGAUGUCGACGGUGACCCGCGCCUACCUCGACCAGAGGCUCGCCGCUGCCAAGCGCUGCUCCAGAGGUAACCAAAACGAUAUCAUGGCCUGGCGCGCCCGUUCACCAUGCCGGCAAUGCUCUUGCUGCUCUGUUCCAAGUACUACAUUGCAGCUUUGUGUAGUACUGUCUGUGCUGAAACUUGGUGUUGAUUAACAUCCCUGUGUUGGUUCGAAACUGCAGAGGCUGCCAUGGCCGGAGCCAAGGCCGCGGCCGUCGCCACCGUCGCCGCCGCAGUCCCCACCGUAAGUACACAUUGCUCAGCCGGCACAGCUAGUUGCAAGGACGAACAAUCAGCUCACCAAGUUCUUCGUCCGUUCCUUUCUCUGCAGCUGGCGAGCGUGAGGAUGCUGCCGUGGGCCAAGGCGAACCUCAACCCGACCGGGCAGGCGCUCAUCAUCUCCACGGUCGCCGGGAUGGCCUACUUCAUCGUCGCCGACAAGACCAUCCUGUCCAUGGCCAGGAAGCACUCCUUCGACGACGCGCCAGACCACCUCAAGAACACCUCCUUCCAGUAAUUACGCUAUAAUAGCUCCAUUAAUAGUGCGUAAUAAACCGUGUACGCCGGUCGGCCUGUACAUGUCUGCUGAUUCAGCUAGGGAGGCGAUCAGGCGAGGCUUGCAGACAGUGAGUGGUCUACUGCGCUUCUCUCCGAGCAAGCACUUAUCUGAUCAAGUAAUCAUCAUGUAUCCAACCAGUAAUUUUGAAUUCAUAAUGACUUGUAUUUGUACAACUCAGGUUUACCCACCAUCCUUGUUCGUGGUUGUCAUUUGACAUGUGGCCAGUGGCAGAUCCUGCACAAGACCGAAAUAACACUGCAUUCUUCGACCCCCUAUCCUCACUUCUUAAAUCUUUUGAUAAGGUUUAAUAUAUGGCGUGGCAAAUAUGGAAAGUAUUUAUAAAGAUAAAAAAGGAAAAUAAUCCUCAGAACACAUGUGCAUUUUAACAAAGGACAGAACGACAAUCCCUCUUGUGCCUGAAGCAUAGAUCAUGUACCUCCACUCCCACCCCCACGCGUUAGAAUAAGGGUUUCGCAUACGACAAAAAAUGUUUCAGGAAUGUUGAUCUGGUUUGAAAGUAGUACUAAUAGAGCACUCGUGCGCCAGCGACCCUAUCCCAGUUUAGAACUCUCUUCCCUUUGAUUAGACCUUUGAAGUUCAGAAUGUACUCCAAUUCCUCCUGGAUGUUGAUCAUCAUCAUCAACUUUGCAUCUUUGUUGUCCGAUUUUGAUGAGUCGAUGAAUUAUUUUUUAAUGAAUUCAUCAAGCUCCUAUUCAUUAUACUCAUCAUCCAACAAAUCAAUCGUUUUGCCUAUAAAAGAAUAAAAGAAACUGCUCGGACAUUAUUGAACGCAUAGAUGGCAAGGUGUAUGACGGGAGGAGCGGGACAUAUUGCGGCGACGAGGAUGGCAGGGAGGAGUUUUGUGGCGGUGAUGCUGUCGCUUUAGGGUCAGGACAGUGGCGAAGCUAGGGAAGGGCCAUCGUGGACGCUGGAGAAAAGAGGAGAGAAAAUGGGCAGGUCUAGCUAGGUUGAGGUGAUUUGAUGAAAUUUAUGGUGGGUCCUGUCUGCCGGAUUCGACGUGGAGGACACGUCUGAGCCUCCCCAUAUCCACCUCAGAUAUGGGUCGGAUAUGAGGGGUGCCGGUCGGCCCGGACGCAUAAGACUAAUUUGAGGAAGUCAGCUGACUUCCUGUUUCUUGAGCGGUCAGUGACUGAAUCAUCCGCCCAAACAUAUAAAGCCAAUAUAAAGGGUCCGGUUGUGGAUGCUCUAAGCAUUCAACACUAAGGUCUCGCUCUGCUGAGGUGUGCAAAGGCAAGCACCGCGAUGCUAGCGGAUUCCAACUAAAAUGAGUAUAGCACAAAUAAAUUUGUAUUUGAAAAUUUCGAACAGUGUCCAGUUGGUAUUUGUGGGUAAAUAUGUUUCUCGCCCCCUCUUGGUAUUUUUUUGGGUAUUGGCAAAACCUUGGUGAGGGUCGAGAUUCACGAUGAUGGGAGAUGUAUGGUGGUUGUGCAAGCGGUGACGGGGCUAGCUAGUGAAAACAUUUUACGUUAUUUGAAUAGGUGAUCAACUUUAUAUUUUUCCGGUGAUCAAUAAAAGAUUUGCAGGGUGAACCAACCUGUGAUUGGAUUGUUAGGAGAAUAAUGGUAUCUCCAGCCCAUUAAAGUUAAAGUCCUGGUGCUGGUAUUUAUCCUGAAUUUAUUUCAGGAUUAUCUAUGAUGCACGUUCAGUGUGAGGAGACGUUUCUGUCGAUUAUAAGGAUCGGAAGAUGAUAUGCCGCCCGGGUGUGCGUGUGUUCAUCUGGCGCCGGAGUGCGUUUGCGCGUCGAUAUGAACGCUUGCGUUUGCACUGUGUUAAAAUUUUUUUUUGCAGCAAACCGCUCGCGGAAUUGGAUUGCGGCCGGGUUGGCCAAAAAACAGGGAGCACCCAGACCAGACAGAUCGCCAACAAAACGGAGGGCACACUCACGCACAUGCUCCUACGAUGCAGCACCUACGCACGAACUGGGACACGCUCCCUGCCAACCCCGAUCGAUCCAUCCACGCCUUAUCUUUACCUAUACUAGUUGCAGUGCAGUGGUCAUCAAAAAGUAUCAGAAAAAGUAUCAGAGGCGAGUCACGUGGGAUGGUUUUUAUAUGCGGGCCAUCUGUGCUCUGCCGCGUCGCCGGCCAUCCUCUGAAACCCACGGUCUCGCUUCCCACCGUAUCAGCUCGCCUUCCUCUCCGCGCGCACGCCGGUUUCGCGGUUUCUUGCAGCCUAUAAAUCCCGCCGGACCACCUCGCUCUGCCCAUCUCAUCUCAUCUCACACACCACUACUCAUCUUACCUGACGCAGUUCACUGCUAGCCAAUUCACUUCUCGUACCACCAACCUCCCUCGCCAAGAUGUCGACGGUGACCCGCGCCUACCUCGACCAGAGGCUCGCCGCCGCCAAGCGCUGCUCCAAAGGUAACGGUUCCGGCCUCAGGCCAGCACCUGCUCUGCUCGUAUAUCCCACUCAUUGCAGGUCAUGUGUGUGCUGAAACUUGAUCUUGAUUAACAUUCCUAUCCGAAACUGCAGAAGCUACCAUGGCGGGAGCCAAGGCCGCGGCCGUCGCCACCGUCGCUGCCGCAGUCCCCACAGUAAGUAGCCAGCUAGCCAUUCAGUUCUUCCAUGGUUCAUAGCAUGUCUCAUGAGUGCGUUACCUGUCAUUUCAGCUGGCGAGCGUGAGGAUGCUGCCGUGGGCCAAGGCGCACCUGAACCCCACCGGGCAGGCCCUCAUCAUCUCCACUGUCGCUGGGAUGGCCUACUUCAUCGUCGCCGACAAGACCAUCCUCUCCAUGGCCAUGGCCAGGAGGCACUCCUUCGAGGACGCGCCGGAGCACCUCAAGAACACCUCCUUCCACUAGUUAGAUCCAUUAUUAGUAAUGCCCAAUGAACCGUGUAUGCCAAAGUGCAUAGCGUACAGUGAUCAGCAAAGGGAGGUCAUAAUAUAAUUUUCAUCAUGCAAGUAGCCAUGUACAGCAUCUUUUGAGCUAGCAAUACUGAAAGAUGUACCAGCAUUUGUUAACCAAUAUUUUCCAGCUACCGGCUAUUUUGAUGAGUCAGUCAGAUUAUAUAAAAAGUUAAGCAACCUCAAGCUGACGUUUAGUUUAAUCUUGUUGGCUCGCUGCCACCCACGUGACACAUCGACUUGAUCAGCGACAACAUAUAGUAAACCUCAGAUCCUAGUUUCUAGUUAGCAAAUUCAGCGACAGUGCCGUUUUGAUCCAAGGUGAUCCCAGAAAGAUGCCGAAAUUUCUCAGAGGGGGAUAUUUACACACCAUGCAUCAUGUCAAAAAUCAGUGUUACAUCUCCAUUGCUUGCUGCCACUGAUCUCCCCGGAAUAUAUAGUUGUUUAACUAUCAAUAACUCAGUCCACACAACUGAAUCGUCAUGUUCGUGUUCAAUUUGGCAAUUCCCCUGGCGAAUCACAUAUCUUGCUUUGUAUAUGCAUAUGUGAUGUAUAUAUAUGUUUUUCGGAAAUGUUAACGCCCACACGUGUGGGCGUUUACAUCUCGCCCACAAGCGUGGAUCCGCGUCCGUUUGUGAGCGCACGAAUCUUGGCAUGUUUUUAGUGCCACGUAGGACUGGCCUGGUGUGUGGGCGUUCAUCCGGUCGCCCACACGAUCGUUUCACCACACGGGAGGGGCUGGUGUGUGGGCGUUCAACAGUUCGCCCACACGCCACUUUCCAUGCACGCACAAGGGCUAGUAUGUGAGCAUUUAUCAUCUCGCCCACACGCCAUCUUCUCUUCCACACCCAAGCUGCUAGUUGCCAUAUGUUAUGCAACGCACAUGGCAACUGCCCUAGUGUGCUUUGUAAGCAGGUGUCAACUCUCUUUUUACCCGAGUUGACAUGUGUUUUGCAGGGUACACGGCAACUGCCUAGUGUGCACGUAAGCAGAUGACAACUCUCUCUUUACCGAGUUGCCAUGUGUUUUUGCAUGGUAUAUGGCAACUGCCCUAACGUGCACGUAAGCAGAUGACAAUUCUUCCUUUUUACAUGGCAACUGCCCUAGUAUGCUUGUGAGCACAUGGCAACUCUCUCAACUGCCUAGUGGUAGUAUGUGGCAACUCCUAAAGUUUUGAAAUCAUGACAACUACAAUAGACCAGACCAUACAUGGCAACUGUAGUUGAGCAACCAUGGCAACUGCAGUUGUCCGACAUGGCAACCGUAGUUCAGCGACAUGGCAACUGCCCUAACGUGCACGUAAGCAGAUGACAAUUCUUCCUUUUUACAUGGCAACUGCCCUAGUAUGCUUGUGAGCACAUGGCAACUCUCUCAACUGCCUAGUGGUAGUAUGUGGCAACUCCUAAAGUUUUGAAAUCAUGACAACUACAAUAGACCAGACCAUACAUGGCAAACUGCAGUUGAGCAACCAUGGCAACUGCAGUUGUCCGACAUGGCAACCGUAGUUCAGCGACAUGACAACUGCAGUUAAACGAACAUGGACGAGGGUCUGGACCAUGGCAACUGCGGGCGCGCGGUGACUUUCACGCUGGGCGUGCGGGACCACGAGGUACGAGGCCUGACAUACGGGGCGUAUGGGCGUUAUCUACUUCGCCCACACGCACGCGUGUGAGAGGGAUCGGGAGGGAAAAAAAGAUGUGUGUGGGCAUUACUUGUUUUGCCCACACGUAGAUAUGUGGACUGUUUUUCUUAUACACCACACAAAAUGUGUGGGCAGUCUCCCUAACGCCCACACGUGUGGCACUUAUCGGCGUCCAUGUUUUUUUCAUGUGUACUUACCUUAUACAUAAAUUGAAGUGAAUGGCAGACAUGAACAUGUGAUGUAUAUAUGUUUUUGUCAUGAACAUGAUGACAUUGGUGUGAAAGUGAUCACAAUUUAGUUUACCUAACUUUGUAAUAAAUCAGUGUAAAUAUUUGCACGACACCAAAAUUAUUUCCGAUCUCACCAAAAGAUCCGAAAUUUAUAAGAUUUAGAAUUUAUAUAGAACCAGUUAGUCUAAAAUUCUUUGGAUUUGAACAACGUUAGUCCAAUUAUGACACGGUUCCCAUAGAAGUCAUCUUUUGCUACAUAAUUUUCUUUUGCUAUUUCAUCUUUACAAGAAGGAUUGGACGCGCUUUGCUUUGCUGUUGUUGGAUUUCACAAAGAUAAUUUUUGGUUUGGCGUGGGAGAAAGAUGAUGGAGUGUUUUUUUAAUGUGGUUCUCAGUGAGAUUUGUUAGCGGUGUGAUUAUAUGUUAUUUUCUAAUCAACAAAUACUUAUGUGGGGAAGUCCCGGUCCAAUUUUUUAUACUUAUGUUGGCAAGUUUUUUGCGUUGGUAGCCUCAUGUAUUAUAUUGGUGCCAUGGUGUCACAUGCUGGUGCUUCUUUUUUUAGAUGGUGAGAGGUGCACAACACAUGAUUAGUGUGUUUUUACGAGCUGGUUGUUGUCAAUUAAUUUGAGAAAUCAUUAACCCCGUCAAAAUCAUGAAUCAAAAUCCAAAAUUAAAUACCUCAACCAAAUGAAAGAGCAUGUUCAGAAAUAGUUGACCUAAUCAAAAUCAUAAAUCAAAGUCAGAUUUUAAAACUUCAAUUCAGUAGGAGGGAUCCAAAAUUAAAGAGCAUAAAUGAUAGCUAGUAAAAAACCUUUACGUUAUUUGAACUAGACGAUACCCCGCGCGUUGCUACGUAACUUUGUUAAAAAAUGCAGAGAUAGUUGCUAGAAAAUAUUCACAUCCAAUGAAAAGGAAAUAUUAGUUUGAAAAUCAAUAAAAGAAAGUCUCCAAAAACAGAAUAUAAAUUUUGGAAUUACUGCUAAAAAUAUCAUUUCGAACAAACAGGUAAAGGAUGACUACCAUGCAUGCAUGAUGUGGCAACGUUAUAUGCAUAGAGUAAUGCAAAAAUUAUUGCAAUUUAUUAGUUCGCUUAUGUGGUAGAUUUUGCAUGGCUUAGUGGGAGAGAAGACUUAAAUGCAUGGUCUUGGUGAUGGUAGUCUGGAUGGCGUACCAUCGAUACGAUAACGACUGCACAUUGAGAUCAUGGAUGAUGUGCAUGUCAUGGGGAGCAAUGUGCUUUUGCGCGUGAAACGAAUCAUGCACGCGCUGCCAGAAGAUCCCUCUUCUGCUACAGCCUAUGAACUCCGUGGAUAUGGCCAACCACGCAUCGCACAACAACUCAUCCUCCAUGGUUGAGUACCCCCACCAUUCUUUGUGGACUAAAUAAACAAAAUGCCAUUCAAAAAUAAGCUCAAUUAUAUUUGACCAAACACCUGUCAGGCAUGGUGUCAGCCAUGGACGUCGUCGACGGGUCCUGGAUGGACGGCGCCAUUGUAAAAGGUGAGCGGGCGUGUCGGUGCUGCUUGCGUAUGUCUGGCAAUGCCUGUGUGGCGGCCGGAGAGGUACAACGACAACGUCGGAGAAGGAGGAAGCAAUGGGGAGAAGGGGCGGCUUGGAAGAAAAUGUGACCGGGAGGAGGGAGGGGGGUAGUGGCCGGGGAUUCGGAGCCCUACGUGCCUGCUGUCUGGACUCCCGCACCCUCCCCACUUUGCUUCCAAUUUGCGGGAAAAAGUGCCUCUGGACCGAUCGUGAGACCGAUACACGCAUUGGAUGGCAAAGCACAUCCGAACUCUGCAGUUCGAAUGUGUGCGGGCGGUUUGAGGGUCGGUGUUGGAGAUGCCCUAAAAUGAGUAUAACACAUAGUUAUGCCUAGCUCAAAUAAAUUUAAAUUGAGAUUUAAACUUCCUUUGAGAAUUUUGAACGGUAUGCGGUUAGUUUUAUUCGGUAGCCACAUCUUUUUCCCCCUCUUGCCAUUUGUUCGGUAUAUUUGGUAGCCAUGACCUUGGCCGGGGUCGGGAUUCACGACGACGGGAGAUGUAUGGUGGUUGUGCGAGUGGUGACAUAGCUAGCUAGUGAAAACAUUUACUGUUGAGUAUCGUGAUUAUCAGGAAAGAGGAGAUAGACUAGGAUUUUUUUCUGGCUUGUCUUGUACUUUAAGUAAAUCAUUGUACUCCUAUAUAUAUAUGCCCACGAGGCUCAAGCAAUACAACGAACAACUAUUUCACCAGAUCCCUCUCUCCCUUCUAACAUGGUAUCAAUUUUCGGGUUCUAAAGCCUAGCCGCCGCCGCUUUUGCACCCGUGCACCGCCGCCGGGGCGGUCAGCCUCCAUGACCGUCGCUGGGGGCCGCGCCGCCCAUAUCGAGGGUUCAUCCGCCAGCCGUGUUGGCCGGCUGCCCUAGGGAGCCUUUUUCUCGAGCCCUUGCUUCGGGUUUUUUUUUGCUCUCUCGCUGGUCAUUUUGAUCGGCGUUUUUCUUUUUGAUUUUGAUCUAUGCUUGAUCAGUUUGUGUUGCCCGCCGCCGCCGUCGACACCCCGCGCCUCUACUCCGACACCGGCGCGACCGACCGGCUACUUCACCGACCCGGCGGCAUCGCGCGACAGGCAGCCCUCAAGGCCGUCGUCCGCGCCCUGGCCCGUUUGACGCCCUACGCCGGCCAUCAACGCCCUGCUCCGACCGGGGCACCUGCAUCGCCUACACCCGGCGGCCUCGCGCUAUGCGGCGGCCAAUAGUAGCCGCCGCUCGCGCGUCGACCCGCCAAUCGAUCCACGCCACCCGCCUCCGCCGCGUUUGCACAGCGGCCCGGCGGUCUUCCUCGCUGGCCUCGUCCUCCGCUGCAUAGGGACGGCUGUGUCAGGCUCGUUGGCUGCCUCAACUCGGGCGCCGCUGCUUCGUUGGUCGCUCGGGCCUCGCUGCCAAGGCGCCAACGCUGCUUUGGCAGCCUGGGUGCCGGUGCUGACAAGCUCGUCCGCACGACGUCCCACACCGUCCGUCGUCGCUGACCUCAUCUCGGACUCCGCCGCCACCCCGCCUCCACCGAGGGGCGUCCCCGACCUCGCGCAUGAUCGGCUUGAUCACCCGCUCACCGCUUCAUCUAGGCCGCGCGACCGACCUGGUCCAUCGGUUACGCGCGCCUCCGUAGGCCCCGUGAAGAUCGUCCUUGAGUUCAGCAUGCCCCUCCACCGAUCGAGCAAUGGGCUGCCGUCGCGUCGCCCCGUCGAGCCACAGCGCCACCGCCCCGUGGUUCACCUCGCGGUGCAUCGACUCGCGUAUUGCCGCUGCGUCGCCCCUACAGGCCGUAGUGCCGCGAUACGCGGUCCCAGCCGUCGUCCCGAGGCCGUCCCAAUGGUUGCACCGACGCACGCUCCGCCGCUGCACCGCCACUUCGGGUCGUAGCGCCGCGGUCCCUGCCGCCGCCCCGAGGUCUUCUUGCCGUCGCCCCGACCUGCCCGCCGCCACUGCGUUGCCCCUUCGGGCCGUAGCGCCGCGGCCUGCAGUCCAUUCCGCCGUCACCGCGCGUCGACCUCCCGUGGUAUGCGACACGCCCUCUCCCUGGGCGCGGGAAUGCCACCGUCCGCGUCGGUCUUCGUCACGUUGUCAGGGUUCUUCGCCUACAUCGAGCACCGUCACCGCGCUCCUAACCUAGCCUCCGCCGCCGCCGUCAGGCCGCCGGUGCCGCUCUUCUUUGGCCACCGCCGUUGUCGGUGUCAAAACUGGCAGAUCUCGGGUAGGGGUUCCCGAACAGUGCGUCUAAGGCUAAUGGUAACAGGAGCCAGGGGACACAAUCUUUACCCAGGUUCAGGCCCUCUCUAUGGAGGUAAUACCCUACUUCCUGCUUGAUUGAUCUUGAUGAUAUGAGUAUUACAAGAAUUGAUCUACCACGAGAUCAUAGAGGCUAAACCCUACAAGCUAGCCUAUGAUUAUGAUUGUUGUUGUCCUACGAACUAAAUCCUCCGGUUUAUAUAGACACCGGAGGGGGCUAGGGUUACACAGAGUCGGUUACAGAGAAGGAAAUCUACAUAUCCGAAUUGUCAAGCUUGCCUUCCACGCAAAGGAGAGUCCCACACAGACACGGGACGAAGUCUUCAAUAUUGUAUCUUCAUAGUCCAAUAGUCCGGCUGUCCGAGGACCCCUUAAUCCAGGACUCCCUCAGUAGCCCCUAGACCAGGCUUCAAUGACGAUGAGUCCGGCGCGCAGAUUGUCUUCGGCAUUGCAAGGCGGGUUCCUUCUCCGAAUACUCCAUAGAAGAUCUCGAAUACAAGGAUCAUGUUCGGCUCUGCAAAACAAAUUCCACAUACCACCGUAGAGAGCACAAUAUUCCAAAAAUCUAAUCUGCUGAUAACUUUUCAUAGCAUGAUAUCACGCUACGGCUCGGUCAUUAUUCGAACCGUUUUUCUCAACCUGCCACUUCACAUCUUGCGAGGAGGUUUUAUUGGUACGUCUUGUCGAAGCAGAGAUCAUGUCCCCUUAUCACCGGAUUCUCAUCAAUACGGGUGUGGGUAACCCAACCGCGCCAUCAACACGACGCUUGGGGAAUAAGAUAGUUUAUCGGCAAGUGGGGAGGCGCAUGGUUUCUACCGCCUUUCUAAAGAGAUAAGGAUUCCCCUUUUUCACCCACGCCUUCUUCUUCUUCUGCUCAUCCAUUCUCCCUCCCUCGAGCUCCAGCGCGCAAGUUCUCACCUUCUCCGUAAAGCCAUUCCAAGCAUGUCCGGAGCGGGAGGCAAGUGGAUGGCCUCCUCCGUUAUGGAGGAGGACAUCACGAAGCUUUGGGAGGCCGGAUACCUAUCCGCAAACAUCACGCACAGGCUUCCGGCUGAAGGGCAAAUCGUCCCUACCCCUAAACCUCAGGAGAGGGUAGUGUUCCUCUCUCACUUCGUCCGCGGGCUGGGAUUCCCCCUCCACCCAUUUGUCCACGGACUUAUGUUCUACUAUGGGCUGGACUUCCAUGAUCUGGCCCCCAAUUUUAUCCUCAACAUCUUGGUGUUUAUCGUCGUGUGCGAGGCCUUCCUCUGCAUUACCGCCCACUUUGGCCUAUGGCUGAAGACCUUCAACGUGAAGCCAAAGGUGGUGGUUGGCCAACAAGUAGAGUGUGGGGGCGCCAUGGUGGGCAACAUGCCCAAUGUCACCUGACCCGAAGGCUCCUUUGUGGAGACCAUGAAGGGGUGGCAAUCGGGGUGGUUCUACAUCACCGAGCCGCGUGACACCAACUGGGCGGCAGCCCCCGAAUUUCGAUCCAGCAUCCCCAUGCGGCUCACCUCCUGGAAAGAGAAGGGCUUGGCCUGUGUCAUCGGUGGAGCUGACCGGACUUCAGACCUGCGUCCAAAAUAUGAUAGGCAAGAAAAUCAAGCUUGUCAAUGUGGUCCAGGUCAUGCUCCUCCGCCGAAUCAUUCCAUGUCGGAGACGGGCUUUCAAUAUGUGGGAGUUCGACCCGACCGAACACCAGACACUGUGAGAGCUCUUCGACACGACGCACGAAGACGUCUGGAAGGUGUUGUUCAAGGCCACCGAGGUAGCACCGCCCAUAACCGAGGAUCGCGGACUCAGCGCAGAGCGCCCCGCCAAUCCAGUAAGCUCUUUUCUUCUAUAUUUUGCAAGGUGUUCCUUUCCCCAGCAUAUUCGCGGGAGGAAUCUAAGCCUCCAUGCCAAUUUAACAGGACUGGGUAGCGAUAGCAGAGCGGAUUGACUGUCCAGCUCCGCUACCUGAAGAUCCAGCAUCGCCUCUUCUAACGAAGAUGCUGUUUCCGGCACCCUAUGAGGUGCCGGAGAAGAAGGUCAAGAAGAAGGCAACAGGGACUAGGAAGGGUCUCCGGUGCAAGGUUGUAUCGGACAUGACGUUUGAAGACAUCGAGGCGCACUCCUCCAACGAAGACGAGGAGGAGGAAGAAGAAAUCCCUCCCCCCUCCCCAACCGGGGGGCAAAGAAGAGAAAGGUCGCCCCACAAGGGGAGGCUGGGGCGUCCAAGAAGGGAAAGGCUUUCCUUCCGGACCACUCCACCAUGGCCACCUACAGCGGCGAGGAGUGGCUGCCCAGGGACAAGCCCCUGGCUAAGUCGUAACCAUCCGGACACUUUAAUGCUUCCAGUGUGUUUUGAUUUAUUGCUUCUUAUCAUGCCAAACAUGCAUAUGCAGUUCGGCCACAUCCCACAUCGACGCAUCCUCUUCGGAUGGGUCUUUGGGCCCGUCGGCGAUAAACAGUGAUUCACUCCCGACAGCCUCCUCCCCCAGGCCCAUGGACGACACCGAGGUGUUGUCUCAGAGGAUACCGGACCAGGGGGAGACAGUUCUGGAGACGCCCCAAGGCGAAAUCCAAGAUGCCGGGCACAUGGGAGGGAAGACCCCCAUGGAUUCCGAUGGCGGGGGCUGCAGCAAGUCUGGCCCCCAGCCGAAUGCGGCUCCAGAAACCCAAGUGGUUCCGGAUUCAGGAAGGCAGCCUCUCUCUAAGGAGGGCGAGCCGCCUGUACCAAUGACCUCUGUCCAUCCAGAGGCAUCGGAUAACUUGCUAGAAGCGCUUCGCGACACUUCCAUUGAUGAAGAACACCGUACUCUUAUGAGUUUGGUGAUUGAGAAGGUCCGGUCCGCCAAAAGCGGAUUGACCGAAGCCUGCGCGAGCCUCCUAACAGGCUUUGAGGUAAGUAAUAAAAUUGUAAGAAAGUAUCACAACAUAGACAGUAGCCCAUGAUGCUGUAUUUGGUGUUCGAAAAGAAAGGUCGAACAGAGGAUCAAAUAACAUCCGCAGGAGUCUAACAGAAAAUGUCUAUGUGAAUAAGUAGGCGUCACUGCUGGCCACUGCCGCUCAUACUGCGGAGGUCUCCGGACUAAAGCGGGCCUGGAGUAGACCGAGGAAGAGCUCGGCCGCAUGAAGAGGCAGCUGGAUGAAAACAAAGGUACACAAUACCCCGUCUAUAUAUGUAUAAAGGAAAAAAUUGUUGCUUCUAAGCGUCAUGAAUUUUAAUAGGGGCCACGACCGAAGUGGCGGCCCUUAAAAAGGUGCUGACCGAGGCCGAAGACAAAGCGGCCAAGGAGCGCGCCGAGCGCGAGUAGCAAGAGGCCCGAAUCGAUGAGGUCCAGCAAGAGCUCCAGGAUUUCGUCAAAAAAUGCGAUUCCUUGGAGCGUGACUCUAAGACGCAAGAGUCCGAGCUUGCGAAGGCCCUCCAGAGCGCACGAGACACCAAGGACGAAGCCCAAAAGGCCCUCCAGGAGAUUCAGGCGGCCAAGAAGAUAGCGGCGGGUAAGGCAUUCAUUAUGCAAAGCAAGCAUGUGAAGGAGACUGUCCUUUUACUUACCCGAAUUUGGAGCUCUCCAGGAGCAUUCGCAGAUCUGUCACGCAGCAUAUCUGAUGCCGUAGAGUUCUACCGAGCUGAAGAAGGGAGCUCGACAGAGAAGUUGUUCUGAUCUCAGUAUAUUGGGACCGAACAUCCGAUGCCCUUGAGCGACGAGCUGGAGCAACUGGUCGAACUGCACAAGGCGGCCGAACUGGCCAUGAAGGACCUCAUAGUCCGGAUGUGGCUUGCCUAACCCCUACCCAGCAGCUACUUCGGCCUAGUAAAGCGGCUUGUGAGUGCCUGUCCGCGGCUUGAAGUUAUAAAGUGGUCAGUUUGCAUUGAAGGUGUGCGCAUGGCCUUCGCCUGCGCGAAAGUGCACUGGGCAAAGAUGGAUGCCAAGAAGUUAAUGACCGAGGGGCCGCCGAAGGGCAAGGAGCACUGCCACCCCGAGAAGUAUUAUGAUAGUGUCUUGAAGGGCUCCCGCCUUGUGGCGGAGCAAUGUGCUAAGGAUGUAAUAUUUGAGUGAAUGUACUCAUUUGAUCCUGUAAUAUGAAAACAAGUUCGUUUGCACAAUAUAACGCUUGUUGAUUAAAAUUUUACCUUCUGUGUGGCCGUUUAUAAAAUCUGAGAGUUCGCCAGUCGUCGACUUCUGCCCCCAUGUAACUAGUACCGGGGUGUUCGAUAUAAAUCUAAACAUUCUUUAUCCGUUUUUUUGUCCUUUAAGGAGGCGUUUAGUGCAACGACAAGGCAAUAAGAUUAUACGGCUUUAUCACUCUCACUUAGCCAUAGAAGUUAUAUAAUUUUAAAUUUUGGCAUAGCCCCUGGUAUUCGGAAGGCCGAACUUGGGGCGCUAUACACGCCUAAAUCGGACAAGGCCGAUUCCUCGCCCGAAGCAGAAAAAAUCUUUAAGGAUUUGAAACCUCUCGAACAGCGACUAGCUCUCGCCGCAUCAUGACAGUCAGUUUUCGGCUUUCUCUACUGAGGUGCUCGUCUGGAAGAACCAGGACACAAUCGCAGUAGUUGUCCCUGUGCCACCUUAGCCGAUAUAGCGGAACGUAAGGCAGCAAAACAUGGGAGCCGGGGAAACCCAACUAUUGACCCAAGACAUGAUUCGGAGUUGAUGCAUAUAAUGCUAUAAGUUCGGGGUGCUGCAUUGUCGAAAGUGUUCGGACUUUUCCUGCCGUGUUAUGGGGUACAUUGAAGCCCUUGGCGAUCUGAACGUACCAAAAUGUACGGGUGCAAUUUGUAAUAAAUAAACAGACAAGGAAAGAGAUAAAGAAAUGUAAUAAUAAGCUGACGUUAUACAUUAUUUUCCAUUGUUAUGUGAAUAAUACGUCAAGGCGCAUGUAUACAAGUAGUGCAAUAAGCACAAUAGGACUAUUUAACAUGUCCAUAACCAAGGGCGAGCUGCGUGUGGGUAUGUAAAAUAGGUAUAGCGAUCGUUAUCAGAGACCAGCUGGGGAUUCCCUUGUACGUCAAAGCUCCUUGCCUCCUUGGUGUUUCCGUCCAGUGAUGGGUCCGAUAAUCAGGCUAUCGGAAGAGCCUCCAGAAAAUAGGGACCUGAGAACAAAGAAAAGGGGGAAGGUGUACGGGUCCUGGGGCGGUUGAGCCACAUUAUGGACCGCAUUGUCUUUAUGUGAACUAGAUUAUUGACUCUAGUGCACUAGAGUCAAUACUAGUGACACUAUGUUGUCUAUAUAUUCACACAUGUAUUAUGUUUCCAGUUAAUACAAUUCUAGCAUCUAUGGUGGAGGGAGGCACCGCACACGGCUAAGAGAUCAAGAGAUCAAUUGUUGUCUCUAUGUGGUGCCCCCUCCCCCGUAUAUAAAGGAGUGGAGGAGGGGGCCGGCCAAGGGGGGUGGUGCGCCCUAGGGGGGGAGUCCAACUCUCACCGGGAGUAGGACUCCCCCUUUUCCAAUUAGGAGAGGGAGAGGGAAGGAAGAGGAAGGAGGGAGGAAGGAAAGGGGGGGGCGACCCCCCUACCAAUUCGGAUUGGGCUUGGGGGGGCGCGCCCCCUCCCUUGCUCCUUUCCCCGCCUUUCCACUAAGGCCCAAUAAGGCCCAUAUACCUCCCGGGGGGUUCCGAUAACCUCCCGGAGCUCCAGUAUUGUCCCAAUCUCACCUGGAACCUUUCGGGUGUCCAAAUAUAGUCCUCCAAUAUAUCAAUCUUUGUCUCUACCAUUUCGAGACUCCUCGUGAUGUCCGUAAUCACAUCCGGGACUCCGAACAACCUUCGGUACAUCAAAACUCAUAAACUCAUAAUAAAACUGUCAUCGUAACUUUAAGCGUGCGGACCCUACGGGUUCGAGAACUAUGUAGACAUGACCGAGACACGUCUCUGAUCAAUAACCAAUAGCGGAACCUGGAUGCUCAUAUUGGCUCCUACAUAUUCUACGAAGAUCUUUAUCAGUCAAACCGCAUAACAACAUACAUUGUUCCUUUUGUCAUCGGUAUGUUACUUGCCCAAGAUUCGAUCGUCGGUAUCUAAAUACCUAGUUCAAUCUCGUUACCGACAAGUCUCUUUACUCGUUACGUAAUGCAUCAUUCUGUAACUAACUCAUUAGCUACAUUGCUUGCAAGGCUUAUAGUGAUGUGCAUUAUCUAGAGGGCCCAGAGAUACCUCUCCGAUAAUCGGAGUGACAAAUCCUAAUCUCGAAAUACGCCAACCCAACAUGUACCUUCGGAGACACCUGUAGAGCUCCUUUAUAAUCACCAGUUACGUUGUGAUGUUUGGUAGCACACAAAGUGUUCCUCCGGUAAACGGGAGUUGCAUAAUCUCAUAGUUAUAGGAACAUGUAUAAGUCAUGAAGAAAUCAAUAGCAACAUACUAAACGAUCAAGUGCUAAGCUAACGGAAUGGGUCAAGUCAAUCACAUCAUUCUCCUAAUGAUGUGAUCCCGUUAAUCAAAUGACAACUCAUGUCUAUGGUUAGGAAACUUAACCAUCUUUGAUUAACGAGCUAGUCAAGUAGAGGCAUACUAGUGACACUAUGUUGUCUAUGUAUUCACACAUGUAUUAUGUUUCCGGUUAAUACAAUUCUAGCAUGAAUAAUAAACAUUUAUCAUGAAAUAAGGAAAUAAAUAAUAAGUUUAUUAUUGCCUCUAGGGCAUAUUUCCUUCACAUAUAUAUAUCAUAUGCUGAAGUGGCUGUCCAGCGCCCUGUGGGCGGUGGUUCUUGUUCUUCUCCGGCGUCGUCGUCCAUACUGUCGAUGUCUUUGGAGUCGAAAUCAAGCAUGUCGGUUAAGUCGUCGAUAGUGGCUAUUAAGUGGAUGGUGGGUGGGGAACGAAUUUCUUCAUCGUCCGCUUCCCACUCAAGCCGGACAUAGUUAGGCCAAGAGUCUCCUGACAGGGAGAGAGAUUUCAACGAAUUUAGCACGUCGCCCAAGGGCGAGUGCUGAAAGAUAUUCGUGGAGGUAAACUCCAUGAUCGGCACCCAAUCAGGUUCAGUGGGUGCAGAUAUACGCGGUUCGGAGCCUGCAGCCGGCGACGAGUCCAAGGGUCCGAUGACACAGACCUUAUUGGAGGCGAAGUCUGUGUUCGGCUCUACCGCCGAUGAGUGUGCAGCCUCCGUGGUGGGGCCUAUCCACCCGUCCUCGGAUGGCACGAUCUGCUCCAGAUUAAGAGCUGGGGCAGCUGCAGGUGCAAUCUCCCGAACACCGUCCGAUGGCAGAUCUAAGUCAUGCUCAUCAUGACUGUUCGGCGCACCUGUCAUGGGCUUGAAUCCAUCGAAGAUCAAGUCUCUGUGGAUGUCGGCGGUGUAGUUCAGGCUUCCAAACCUGACCCGAUGGCCAGGGGCAUAGCUAUCGAUCUGCUCCAGAUGGCCAAGCGAGUUGGCCCGCAGUGCGAAGCCACCGAAUAUGAAGAUCUGUCCGGGAAGGAAAACCUCACCAUGAAUCGCAUCGUUGUGGAUGAUCAACGGAGCCAUCAAGCCUUAUCGUGACGACACAGUGGAACUCUCAAUGAAAACACCAAUGUCGGUGUCAAAACCGGUGGAUCUCGGGUAGGGGGUCCCGAACUGUGCGUCUAAGGCUAAUGGUAACAUGAGGCGGGGGACACAAUGUUUACCCAGGUUCGGGCCCUCUAUAUGGAGGUAAUACCCUAUUUCCUGCUUGAUUGAUCUUGAUGAUAUGAGUAUUACAAGAGUUGAUCUACCACGAGAUCAUAGAGGCUAAACCCUAGAAGCUAUCCUAUGAUUAUGAUUGUUGUUGUCCUACAGACUAAACCCUCUGGUUUAUAUAGACAUCGGAGGGGGCUAGGGUUACACAGAGUCGGUUACAGAGAAGGAAAUCUACAUAUCCGAAUUGCCAAGCUUGCCUUCCACGCAAAGGAGAGUCCCACCUGGAAACGGGACGAAGUCUUCAAUAUUGUAUCUUCAUAGUCCAACAGUCCGUCAUAAGUAUAUAGUCCGGCUAUCCGAGGACCCCUUAAUCCAAGACUCCUUCAGCCGACACUACCCCCAUAGCCGCCGCAACCGCCCGUCCACCUCCUUCGUCUUCGUCCAGCACCAGCCCGUCAUCAGCGUCGCCGUCAUCUUCCCCGACCACUUCGUCUACUCCGACCACCGUUGGUGACAUUGGCCUCGCGCCGAUGGACGCCACACUCAUCUUCGAGUUUUUCUCUGUUGGCCCCUCCGACUUCUCCGACAUGGCGUACAGCUCAUGCAGGUCCCAGUCUCCGCAUGCCUGGUGCUGGCAACACCGAUGCAUGCCUUCAUCCACGACGUGUCCCUGGGCCUGGCCAGCCUGGUCGGCACUUCCUUCGACUUCGUCUUCGUCCACCUAUGCAUGCCCGGUGCUGGCAACAAUGGUGCAUGCCUUCAUCCACGAUGUGUCCCCGGGCUUGGCAAGCCCGCCGCGAAGCGUCGUCAACAACAUCUUCUUCCCGGUGCACCACUACUUCGACACCACUGCGCCCAUGCUAACUCGGCCCCCCUUGCGCCCGCGGUUCCACAUCGACUUCCUCGACACCGGCCACCCCGACUCGACAUCGACCACGACAUUCUUCACACGGCUACCUCGACCACGGCUACACCACUCACGCGAUCGGCUACAUCGACAAACGACACAAAGGGCUAUCGCCUGAUUGAGCAACCUCGUCGGUUUCCACUCCAGCCACAACUCUGCGAUGCAUCGACCGUNNNNNNNNNNNNNNNNNNNNNNNNNNNNNNNNNNNNNNNNNNNNNNNNNNNNNNNNNNNNNNNNNNNNNNNNNNNNNNNNNNNNNNNNNNNNNNNNNNNNNNNNNNNNNNNNNNNNNNNNNNNNNNNNNNNNNNNNNNNNNNNNNNNNNNNNNNNNNNNNNNNNNNNNNNNNNNNNNNNNNNNNNNNNNNNNNNNNNNNNNNNNNNNNNNNNNNNNNNNNNNNNNNNNNNNNNNNNNNNNNNNNNNNNNNNNNNNNNNNNNNNNNNNNNNNNNNNNNCUCCAGUCUCACCGUCUGCGUCGCUACCGUUGUGACUGCGGGGGAUGUUGAGUAUCGUGAUUAUUAGGAAAGACGAGAUAAACUAGGAUUUGUUCUAGCUUGUCUUGUACUCCAAGUAGAUCAUUGUACUCCUAUAUAUAUGCCCACGAGGCUCAAACAAUAGAACAAACAACUAUUCCACCAGAUCCCUCUCUCCCUUCUAACAUUUACGUUAUUUGAACAGGUGACCAACUUUAUAUUUCCCCGCAACCAAGGUGAUGAACGAAGACGAACCAACAUGUAGUUGGAUGGUUAGGAGGAUGAGAGUAUUCUUGGCCCACUCGGGUUUAAGUCUCAGUGGGAGAAGAUGUUCCCGUCGACUACAAGACGGCUACGGUGACUUUGAGUGUAUGCUUGUAUAUAUGAGUGUUUAGAGCAACUCCAACGGGGCGACCCAUUUCGUUGGCCGCCGUCCGUUCGGGUCUACGCGGACAAAAGUGGAGGCCCAACGCGCCGAUCCAAACCCAAAACGCGUCCGCUUCGCGUUCGCGCCGACGCAUUUGCGUCCCAAAUUUGCGCCCCAAAUGCAUCAGCACGGAGGCGGAACAGACGCCGCGCGCGCCUUCUUGACGUCCGCCGCGGCCCCACCUGGCGGUUGCUCAACUACCCGCCCUCUCGCGGGUCAGCUUAAUUUAUGACCCUGAGCCCACGCAUCAGCAACGGCGGUCGUCCUUUUUUAAGCCGACCAUGUGGCGGGGCCCUCCUCAUCCAUUUUCCGUCCCCAUCGAGGCCAUGCUCGCUCCGCCGUCGCUGGCAAGACAACCCUAGCCACCCCAGCCGCCCAAAUGGGGCUCUUCUCCGGCAGCAGCAGCAAGCCGAAGGGCAAGGUUCCCGUCGUCCCCUUCCCCAUGGAGUUCACCCCGCCUCCGCCUGCGCCUGCUUGCCGGCAAAGGCAGCGGGUGAACGUGCCCGUGCACCAGGCGGAGUGGCACUGGCACCACUGCGUGCUGCUGCCGUACCCCGACGUGACGCUGCCGCACGACUGGCAUCUGAAUCCGGAAAGGAUCCCAGUGUCGGCGGCGCCGCGGUCGGCUAGGGAGCAUGCGGAGGAGGUGCAUCGCCGGCAGGCGCUCCUGACGCGGGAGCAGCGCCGCGAUGAGGCGUACGCCUUCGACUCGCUCAACUGGGCGCGCUGGUUCGCUUCGAGCACGAGGGGGCGAGGCAGCGCGACGUGCGGAGGUCGCCCACAGUGUGCCGCCGCCGCCGCUCAUCAUCAGGGAGGAAGACCAGGCAGCACGGGACGCCUACCAGGCGGCCCUUGCGGCCGUCUACCGGGAGAGCGAGGAGGACGAGCGGCGCAAGGCGGAGGCGGCAGAAGAAUAAGAAGCUCGGUACGAGGCGGCCAUGGUGUAGGCCAUGGCCCUCUCCGCGGCCGGCGACUGCGUGGUGCUGCCGGUGGCCCCGCCGUCCCCUCCCCAACGCCUCGUCAAGGCCGACCCGGAGCCGCAGCCACAACCGGAGCCGGAGCUGGGCUCCACCGCGAGCUUCUCCUGGACGGGAAUGGUGCGCGAGUGGGUGUCGGCGCCACCGGUUUGGAUGGGGGCGACCCCCGGCGCAGGAGGCGGCAUACCUCGAGCACGGGCGCCAGCGACGGCUGGCUGAGGAGCGGUGUCAAGGCGAGUACGAGGAGAUGCUCGAGCGCGACCUCGAGGAGGAGGCGCGCGAGACUCAGGAGNNNNNNNNNNNNNNNNNNNNNNNNNNNNNNNNNNNNNNNNNNNNNNNNNNNNNNNNNNNNNNNNNNNNNNNNNNNNNNNNNNNNNNNNNNNNNNNNNNNNNNNNNNNNNNNNNNNNNNNNNNNNNNNNNNNNNNNNNNNNNNNNNNNNNNNNNNNNNNNNNNNNNNNNNNNNNNNNNNNNNNNNNNNNNNNNNNNNNNNNNNNNNNNNNNNNNNNNNNNNNNNNNNNNNNNNNNNNNNNNNNNNNNNNNNNNNNNNNNNNNNNNNNNNNNNNNNNNNNNNNNNNNNNNNNNNNNNNNNNNNNNNNNNNNNNNNNNNNNNNNNNNNNNNNNNNNNNNNNNNNNNNNNNNNNNNNNNNNNNNNNNNNNNNNNNNNNNNNGCCGACACUGCCCCCGCCGGAAUAGCUGCCCCCGGUCUACAUCGCCGCCGCAUGGGCCACGGCGUUCCCCUGGGCCGACCCUCCGCCGACGCUCAUCGACCUCACUGACCCCGAGGACGACGACGACGACGACGCCUAGGGUGCGUUGGACAGCGCGCCGCCUCGUAGUUAGGUUGUUUUUAAAUUUUUUUUAAUGCUAUUGUGGACGCGUGGACUCUCGCCGGCCUUCCUGGUCGGCUUUAAUGUUUAAUUAAAUUAUUUUCAGUUGAAAUAUGCAUGCACAGUUUUUUUUUUGUCGGCACCGUCAAAAUGGGUCGGGCGCGCGUUGGGCGCAUACGCCGACCCAAACGCGAAAGCGGACGUCCGUGUCCACCCUGACCGAUCAAAACGGAUAAAAAGCGGACGAAAUCGCUGUCCGUUUGGGUUGGCCCGUUGGAGUUGCUCUUAUGUUUGUAGUGUGUUAAAAAGAAAAGUUGAUCAACCAAGGAUUUGCAGCGAACUACUCGCGGAAUUGGGUUGGACGAAAACAGGGAGCGCCCACACAGAUCUCCAACAAAACGGAGGGCACACUCACGCACAUGCCCCUACGUGUUAUCCUACGCACGAACACGCUCCUUGGCUCUCUCCCAACCCCGAUCGAUCUUUAUCCAGUUGCGGGGCAGUGGUCAUCAAAAAGUAUCAGAGGCGAGUCACGUGGAUUGGUUUUUACUAUAUGCGGGCCAUCUGUGCUCUGCCGCGUCGCCCACCUUACGCUCGUCUGAAACCCACGGUCCCCGCACGCCGGUUUCGCGGUUUCUUGCAGCCUAUAAAUCCGGCCGGAGCACCCAGCUCUGCCACAUCCCAUCUCACACAACCUCUACUCAUCUUACCUGACACACUUCACUUCCUUCGGAUCUCGUGCCACCAAGCUCUGCUCCCGCCAAGAUGUCGACGGUGACCCGCGCCUACCUCGACCAGAGGCUCGCCGCCGCCAAGCGCUGCUCCAAAGGUAACGGUUCGGGCCUCAGGCCAGCACUGCUCUGCUCGUAUAUCCCACCCAUUGCAGCCUAUGCUUGUGCUGAAACCUGACCUGGAUUAACAUUUCCCUACGUUGAUCCGAAACUGCAGAGGCUGCCAUGGCAGGAGCCAAGGCGGCGGCCGUCGCCACCGUCGCUGCCGCAGUGCCCACAGUAAGUAGCCGUUCAGUUCUUCAGUUCCAGAGUUCAUAGCACAUAUCUCAUGAAUGCGUCACCUGUAAUUUAAGCUGGCGAGCGUGAGGAUGCUGCCGUGGGCGAAGGCACACCUGAACCCGACCGGGCAGGCCCUCAUCAUCUCCACCGUCGCCGGGAUGGCCUACUUCAUCGUGGCCGACAAGACCAUCCUCUCCAUGGCCAGGAAGCACUCCUUUGAGGACGCGCCGGAGCACCUCAAGAACACCUCCUUCCACUAAUUAGACUAUAAAAUAGAUCCAUUAGUAGUCCGUAAUAGUCUGCACGCCGGACUGGAAGUGUCUGCUGAAAGAUGGUAUUGUAAUGUUCAGGCAGCACUU
This 28182-nucleotide long non-coding RNA is filed under the name Triticum aestivum (bread wheat). RNAcentral describes it as "long non-coding RNA (TAES_LNC002311)". Lineage: Eukaryota; Viridiplantae; Streptophyta; Magnoliopsida; Poales; Poaceae. The record is from RNAcentral.